ACUCCUACGGGAGGCAGCAGUGGGGAAUAUUGCACAAUGGGCGCAAGCCUGAUGCAGCCAUGCCGCGUGUGUGAAGAAGGCCUUCGGGUUGUUAAAGCACUUUCAGUCGUGAGGAAGGUAGUGUAGUUAAUAGUCUGCAUUAUUUGACGUUAGCGACAGAAGAAGCACCGGCUAACUCCGUGCCAGCAGCCGCGGUAAUACGGAGGGUGCGAGCGUUAAUCGGAAUUACUGGACGUAAAGCGCAUGCAGGUGGUUUGUUAAGUCAGAUGUGAAAGCCCGGGGCUCAACCUCGGAAUAGCAUUUGAAACUGGCAGACUAGAGUACUGUAGAGGGGGGUAGAAUUUCAGGUGUAGCGGUGAAAUGCGUAGAGAUCUGAAGGAAUACCGGUGGCGAAGGCGGCCCCCUGGACAGAUACUGACACUCGAGAUGCGAAAGCGUGGGGAGCAAACAGGAUUAGAUACCCUGGUAGGAUAGGG
Molecule: ribosomal RNA, 476 nt
Filed under: uncultured bacterium
Lineage: Bacteria
Description: bacterial SSU rRNA
Rfam family: Bacterial small subunit ribosomal RNA
Source: RNAcentral